AUACAAAGGAAUGUAAGAAUAUAACAUUGGUUUGUGAAUUGUGACAGAUUGAUAGAUUAUAUUGUUAGCAGAAAGGAGUAUAUUGCAUAUUUACAUGGCUUGAAGGUGCGGUAGUGAUGCUUCCCCAAUAAAGUUUCACUGUGUUGUGGUAAUUGCGUGCUUUUCUAUGUAUUCAUCCAUUUAGACUCUGCAGAUCCUUCAUGGUUGCUCUGUUGGAAACCUUGAAGGAUCUGAUAGGAGCUGGCUCAAUGAUCCAAAAGAUACUGUGUUACUGACUGAUACAUGAGUACAUCCUAACGAAGCAUCAUGGGGGCUUAAUUGUUGGCUAAUUAUUUGCGCGACUGCUGCAUGCGAAGCUUUAGAAAGCUCACGAACAUGUUGCAGAGCGCGGAAUGAAUAUGGUACUAAAGUCAUUAUCUUCCAUUAGCGAGGAAGAAACAUCGACCCCACAUAUUGUGCUAUACAGAGCUUGAUACCUCUGCCUUUUAUGGUGUACUUUUGAUUCGAGAGUGAUUCCAAAAAAUAUUUAGUGAUGGCCAUUUUAUUUUUGGUACUUCUUUAUUAUUCUUGCAUGUGAAUUAUGGAGUACAUAUUAAUGCUUGUGUAGGCAUUGGUAAGCAAUAUCAAUUUAAAUUGAUGAGUUUUUGCUUUAUCAACUUGAUCUCCUGAUAAUGCAUGGUGUAUGUGACUUUCGAAGUCAAAUGCUACUUGCAGAACUGAAUUCUAUUAACCAUUUACAGAUUCUUAGGAUU
Molecule: long non-coding RNA, 752 nt
Organism: Lycium ferocissimum
Lineage: Eukaryota; Viridiplantae; Streptophyta; Magnoliopsida; Solanales; Solanaceae
Exons: 4
Source: RefSeq, a predicted model, not a curated record